Gasterosteus aculeatus aculeatus (three-spined stickleback) is the source of this 2000-nucleotide long non-coding RNA. Lineage: Eukaryota; Metazoa; Chordata; Actinopteri; Perciformes; Gasterosteidae. The record is from Ensembl.
GGGAGUGAGAGGGAGGAGGGAGGGAGGGAGGGAGGGAGAAAGCGAGAAUCUGCCCCGGUUGUAAUGCGUUUGCCGUAGCGCGGUCACACCGUCGAGUCGAGAUGCAGCAGAGAGGAAAGACGACGACGAUGUACAACGAUGGAUGAGUGUGUGUGUGUGUGUGUGUGGCACCUCUGCUAUAUAAUGUAUAUAAUUGUUAUUAUAAACAAAAGAAUACCUAUAAUAAAUGGCCAAAAGCCAAAAUUAAGCUUCCAAAAUACAAUUAAACAAAGUAGAAUAUGAUCAUGUUGAAUGGCAAUCUACAAAGAUAUUGAUGUCCACAUAGUGAGCAAAGGGACCGUGAGGACAGCAGAGUGUGCGUGUGUGCGUGUGUGCGUGUGUGUGUGUGUGUGUGUGUGUGUGUGUUUCAAAGGGGCCUCUUCGACCCGAGUAAAGAGGAAAUGGAUGCCUCCUUAUCAACGGCAGCUGACCACCACAGCUCCUUUAGUAACGAGCGCAGCGCUCACUCGCUGCCCGACGACGCUGAUGCACGGAGCGACGCGUCCUGAUCCCGCAGACGCCUUCGUUCCGUUCAGCGCGGCCAUUUGGAGCGAGCGAGGCGGCGCGGCCCAACGCGUAAAGCGAGCGAGAGAGACAAACUGAGAGGAAGUGUCGGUUUCCUGACUCUCUCUCUCUCUCGCAAUAGAAGAGAGCAAUGAUUGACGCGAGUGGCGGUCUGCUGGCUGAUGGCGGGGGUCGGAAACCGCAGAGCCGAGGAGAGGCCGUGCUCCGCGAGAAGCCGCUGGCCUCGCCGGCUUCCGUCCUCGAGUGCAGACAGCAGGCGUCUUCAUUUCCCAACUCGAUUUACGGGCAUCGGGAGACGGCGAGGCGCGCCCGGCUCUCUCAAAUGCAAUCAGCCUGCUUGUGUGCGUUUUUAAGGGGAACUCGGAGGGUGCCGUCUUCAUCAGCUUUCUUUUCGGCUCCUCUAUAGAAAUCCUUCCUAAAUGUAAACGGCUGCUUAAGGAUUUUCUUUUGCUAAUUGUGAUCUCCCUUUCAGGCUGCGACAGAAAAGCCUAGUGAAGCCCGUAAACUCACCUCAUAAAGAUUUAUUUCCUGAGAUGGAGCGAUGAUUAGAAGAGAGAGAGGGAGCGAGAGAGAGAGGAGGGAAAGAUGACUCCACCACCCUGGGGGGAGGACGAGGUGAGAUGGAACCACUUCUCCGCUCACCAAUGGUUCCAUCUCUCCCGCCAUCGGAGCGCCAUCUGCUGGCCCGGUGGGGCGGGACAGCUGGUGUUGUGAAUCAGGCCGCCACAAUCAAAGGAACGGCUACUUCCCAACACCAGGGUCUCACCCUCACCCCUCUCACCCCAUCCCAACACCAGGAUCUGACCCCUCUCACCCCAUCGCCUCGGCUGGCAACGAGCCGCUCAGCGUAUGUUUCAAAGCGAGUGCUUUGUACUCUCCGGAUGAAAUGGCGAUCGGUAAUACUGGGACUUUGUACAAAUCUGUGUGGAGUUUAUGUUCCUUUUACAUCAUAUCUCCUGAAAUUAGGAAUUAGAAGAAAGUACAGCAAAUAUCCCAAAUAAAAAUGUUAAAUUAUUUCAAACCCCAUAGAACACACACAAAAAAUGAUGACAUGAAAUACAAUAAAAAAUGUUUCCCUAAUAAAUGAAUUAAAUGUGAAUUUAAAAAGAAUAUGACAAUGGUUUUGUCUUUUAAUAAAAGCUACUUGUUAAAGACUUCAUGGGAGUAUUUAUAAUAUAUAAUGGCAAUGCGCCACCAGAAAAUGACCUGAAUGUAUAUACUUUUUUUCCCCUCAUGAACAGCAGUGUGUUCACACCAAACUAAGCCCUUAAGCUGCUGAAGCUGUAGCUGAUCACCUCCGGCCACUAAGGGAUGAAAAUGUAUAUUGCUCAUUAUCUUAAUAAACCACCACCCUUCUGCUGAUUGCCUUACUUGUGUGUCUGUGUUCUUACACCAAAUACUGUAUUUGUAUGAAUCAUAUAAAAGGCUGCCACUGU